UAGGGAAUCUUCGGCAAUGGACGAAAGUCUGACCGAGCAACGCCGCGUGAGUGAAGAAGGUUUUCGGAUCGUAAAACUCUGUUGUUAGAGAAGAACAAGGACGUUAGUAACUGAACGUCCCCUGACGGUAUCUAACCAGAAAGCCACGGCUAACUACGUGCCAGCAGCCGCGGUAAUACGUAGGUGGCAAGCGUUGUCCGGAUUUAUUGGGCGUAAAGCGAGCGCAGGCGGUUUCUUAAGUCUGAUGUGAAAGCCCCCGGCUCAACCGGGGAGGGUCAUUGGAAACUGGGAGUCUUGGGUGCAGAAGAGGGGGGUGGAAUUCCAUGUGUAGCGGUGAAAUGCGUAGUUAUAUGGAGGAACACCAGUGGCGAAGGCGGCUCUCUGGUCUGUAACUGACGCUGAGGCUCGAAAGCGUGGGGAGCAAACAGG
RNAcentral lists this ribosomal RNA (429 nucleotides) under Gemmatimonadota bacterium. RNAcentral describes it as "Gemmatimonadetes bacterium partial 16S ribosomal RNA". It matches the Rfam family "Bacterial small subunit ribosomal RNA", at positions 355 to 776 of the family's 1533-position model. Lineage: Bacteria; Pseudomonadati; Gemmatimonadota. The record is from RNAcentral.